GACGAACGCUGGCGGCGUGCUUAACACAUGCAAGUCGAACGGAAAGGCCCUGCUUUUGUGGGGUGCUCGAGUGGCGAACGGGUGAGUAACACGUGAGUAACCUGCCCUUGACUUUGGGAUAACUUCAGGAAACUGGGGCUAAUACCGGAUAGGAGCUCCUGCUGCAUGGUGGGGGUUGGAAAGUUUCGGCGGUUGGGGAUGGACUCGCGGCUUAUCAGCUUGUUGGUGGGGUAGUGGCUUACCAAGGCUUUGACGGGUAGCCGGCCUGAGAGGGUGACCGGCCACAUUGGGACUGAGAUACGGCCCAGACUCCUACGGGAGGCAGCAGUGGGGAAUAUUGCACAAUGGGCGGAAGCCUGAUGCAGCAACGCCGCGUGCGGGAUGACGGCCUUCGGGUUGUAAACCGCUUUCGCCUGUGACGAAGCGUGAGUGACGGUAAUGGGUAAAGAAGCACCGGCUAACUACGUGCCAGCAGCCGCGGUGAUACGUAGGGUGCGAGCGUUGUCCGGAUUUAUUGGGCGUAAAGGGCUCGUAGGUGGUUGAUCGCGUCGGAAGUGUAAUCUUGGGGCUUAACCCUGAGCGUGCUUUCGAUACGGGUUGACUUGAGGAAGGUAGGGGAGAAUGGAAUUCCUGGUGGAGCGGUGGAAUGCGCAGAUAUCAGGAGGAACACCAGUGGCGAAGGCGGUUCUCUGGGCCUUUCCUGACGCUGAGGAGCGAAAGCGUGGGGAGCGAACAGGCUUAGAUACCCUGGUAGUCCACGCUGUAAACGGUGGGUACUAGGUGUAGGGUCCAUUCCACGGGUUCCGUGCCGUAGCUAACGCUUUAAGUACCCCGCCUGGGGAGUACGGCCGCAAGGCUAAAACUCAAAGGAAUUGACGGGGCCCCGCACAAGCGGCGGAGCAUGCGGAUUAAUUCGAUGCAACGCGUAGAACCUUACCUGGGUUUGACAUGGAUCGGGAGUGCUCAGAGAUGGGUGUGCCUCUUUUGGGGUCGGUUCACAGGUGGUGCAUGGCUGUCGUCAGCUCGUGUCGUGAGAUGUUGGGUUAAGUCCCGCAACGAGCGCAACCCUUGUUCACUGUUGCCAGCACGUUAUGGUGGGGACUCAGUGGAGACCGCCGGGGUCAACUCGGAGGAAGGUGGGGAUGACGUCAAGUCAUCAUGCCCCUUAUGUCCAGGGCUUCACGCAUGCUACAAUGGCUGGUACAGAGAGUGGCGAGCCUGUGAGGGUGAGCGAAUCUCGGAAAGCCGGUCUCAGUUCGGAUUGGGGUCUGCAACUCGACCUCAUGAAGUCGGAGUCGCUAGUAAUCGCAAAUCAGCAACGCUGCGGUGAAUACGUUCCCGGG
RNAcentral lists this ribosomal RNA (1343 nucleotides) under uncultured bacterium. RNAcentral describes it as "16S ribosomal RNA". It matches the Rfam family "Bacterial small subunit ribosomal RNA", at positions 28 to 1378 of the family's 1533-position model. The record is from RNAcentral.